AAGGCUGAGGCGUGAUGACGAGGCACUACGGUGCUGAAGCAACAAAUGCCCUGCUUCCAGGAAAAGCCUCUAAGCAUCAGGUAACAUCAAAUCGUACCCCAAACCGACACAGGUGGUCAGGUAGAGAAUACCAAGGCGCUUGAGAGAACUCGGGUGAAGGAACUAGGCAAAAUGGUGCCGUAACUUCGGGAGAAGGCACGCUGAUAUGUAGGUGAAGUCCCUCGCGGAUGGAGCUGAAAUCAGUCGAAGAUACCAGCUGGCUGCAACUGUUUAUUAAAAACACAGCACUGUGCAAACACGAAAGUGGACGUAUACGGUGUGACGCCUGCCCGGUGCCGGAAGGUUAAUUGAUGGGGUUAGCGCAAGCGAAGCUCUUGAUCGAAGCCCCGGUAAACGGCGGCCGUAACUAUAACGGUCCUAAGGUAGCGAAAUUCCUUGUCGGGUAAGUUCCGACCUGCACGAAUGGCGUAAUGAUGGCCAGGCUGUCUCCACCCGAGACUCAGUGAAAUUGAACUCGCUGUGAAGAUGCAGUGUACCCGCGGCAAGACGGAAAGACCCCGUGAACCUUUACUAUAGCUUGACACUGAACAUUGAGCCUUGAUGUGUAGGAUAGGUGGGAGGCUUUGAAGUGUGGACGCCAGUCUGCAUGGAGCCGACCUUGAAAUACCACCCUUUAAUGUUUGAUGUUCUAACGUUGACCCGUAAUCCGGGUUGCGGACAGUGUCUGGUGGGUAGUUUGACUGGGGCGGUCUCCUCCUAAAGAGUAACGGAGGAGCACGAAGGUUGGCUAAUCCUGGUCGGACAUCAGGAGGUUAGUGCAAUGGCAUAAGCCAGCUUGACUGCGAGCGUGACGGCGCGAGCAGGUGCGAAAGCAGGUCAUAGUGAUCCGGUGGUUCUGAAUGGAAGGGCCAUCGCUCAACGGAUAAAAGGUACUCCGGGGAUAACAGGCUGAUACCGCCCAAGAGUUCAUAUCGACGGCGGUGUUUGGCACCUCGAUGUCGGCUCAUCACAUCCUGGGGCUGAAGUAGGUCCCAAGGGUAUGGCUGUUCGCCAUUUAAAGUGGUACGCGAGCUGGGUUUAGAACGUCGUGAGACAGUUCGGUCCCUAUCUGCCGUGGGCGCUGGAGAACUGAGGGGGGCUGCUCCUAGUACGAGAGGACCGGAGUGGACGCAUCACUGGUGUUCGGGUUGUCAUGCCAAUGGCACUGCCCGGUAGCUAAAUGCGGAAGAGAUAAGUGCUGAAAGCAUCUAAGCACGAAACUUGCCCCGAGAUGAGUUCUCCCUGACUCCUUGAGAGUCCUGAAGGAACGUUGAAGACGACGACGUUGAUAGGCCGGGUGUGUAAGCGCAGCGAUGCGUUGAGCUAACCGGUACUAAUGAACCGUGAGGCUUAACCUU
RNAcentral lists this ribosomal RNA (1397 nucleotides) under Escherichia coli. RNAcentral's name for it is "partial 23S ribosomal RNA". It matches the Rfam family "Bacterial large subunit ribosomal RNA", at positions 1552 to 2925 of the family's 2925-position model. The record is from RNAcentral. Lineage: Bacteria; Pseudomonadati; Pseudomonadota; Gammaproteobacteria; Enterobacterales; Enterobacteriaceae.